Colletotrichum chlorophyti is the source of this 97-nucleotide transfer RNA. It matches the Rfam family "tRNA". Rfam says of the family: Transfer RNA (tRNA) molecules are approximately 80 nucleotides in length. Their secondary structure includes four short double-helical elements and three loops (D, anti-codon, and T loops). NCBI's taxonomy places the organism in Eukaryota, Fungi, Ascomycota, Sordariomycetes, Glomerellales, Glomerellaceae. The record is from Rfam.
GGUCUGGUGGUGUAGUUGGUUAUCACGUCAGUCUAACAGUUCGAAGCGGUUCAACUGAGCACACUGAAGGUCUCCGGUUCAAGUCCGGGCUAGAUCA